GACAGCUGGCUGGUGGUGCUGGGAGGAAGGAAGUGGGAGAUGGGAAAAGCGGAGUCAGAGGUCUUGUGCGGCAGCUGCUGUCCCUGGAUUUGAGUGGUCAGCAAUCAGGGCUCUUGGAAGCCGGGACUGAGCAGCUGCUGCUCCCACACGGAGUCUGGGCCCGGGAGAGACCUGCAUUACAGCCCCCUCUGUGCCCAGCAGAGAUGGGGACUUUCUCCAGUGGCUGGAACUAGUCCCCCUGCGGGCAGCCCCGGGCUCUGCCGACAUCCUGAGCUGGAGACUGCAGGAGGGGCUGCAAGAGCAUCUGUGCUGUGCGAGAAACGAGCAAAGAAAAGCCAAAGAUGACAAGGAGAGGCAAAGAGCGGUAUGGCUGAAACAGACAGAAGCUAAGAGGCAGAAAAUUAUCCGGGAGUGGAAGAAGCUAUGUGGGUUUCUGCAGGAGCAGCUUACUGCUGUCCUAGCUGGAAGAGCUAGACAGAGCAAUUGUCAAGAGAGGGGAUGAGAGGAUCUCUGAACUGUGCCUGGAGAUUUCCCUGCUCAGUGAAAUGGGAGGAGAGAAUGGAUAGGAGCCGCUGAGCCAAUCCGUACAGGAUUUCUUCUUCCCAAACCUGACAUGAUCUCCAAGGUGGAACAAGGGGAAAUGCAGGGGUCCCAGAUCUCCAGGGCUCCAAGGAGAGGGAGAUCUUGAGAGGUACCUGUGCAGAUGAGGAGUCCUUUAAACCGACUCAGAGACAAUUCUUGAAUGACAGAAACAGCUUGGAUUCCCCAAAACGCCACUUUAGCUGCUCCACUUCUGGAUUGUACCCAGCAGGUGUUGUAUCCUCAUUGCAGACGUCACUCAUGUCUUCACACCCACCAUCACUGACACCUGGCAGCACCUCCUUGCCACCCGAGAUAGGAUCUUCUCUAUUCUCUGGGAAAAAAUUAUGGAGAUUCUGAUUUUUUUUUGAUCUCCCAACAGUUCAUUUCAUUUGUGUCUCCCCCCACACAUCCACCACCCCAUUUGC
Long non-coding RNA from Trachemys scripta elegans, 1007 nucleotides. RefSeq lists it as uncharacterized. The record is from RefSeq and is a predicted model, not a curated record. The transcript has 4 exons. NCBI's taxonomy places the organism in Eukaryota, Metazoa, Chordata, Testudines, Emydidae.